CAAAGCUUUUGUAGAAUGCUUAUGUAUUUAACAAGUUAGAGAUAAUUACCUUAUAGAGAUAUACAUGUACAGAUAAUUAGAUAUUAAUCAUUUAAAGCGUGAACUGUAAUUUAGGAAGACUCUUAAUUGUCAUGUAACUUUGUAAGCUAUCAUUUUAACUGCCAAUGACAUUCACUUACAUUUCUCAUCACCUCACUUCAUCUUUUUCUGUUAAAUAAGUACAGGGGAAAUAGUUCAUAAACAAAUGCCAGACUAUGAUCCUUUUAUCUUUAGGUUACGGCUUACUGAUCCCAACCCAACUCAGCAGUGAGUAAAAUUUGUUGCUACAGAACAAUACUGGCAGAAGAACAAAUGGAUCCCAUGAAUAAAUUUAGGUUGAUAAUUAGAAGAAAUUUUCUAACCAUCUGGAAUAACAAUCAGAAUACUGAGGGUUGUGUAACAGUCUUCAGAUGAACAGUGGAAUGAGACCAUUGAAAUUUUUUGAAGAUGAAGCUUGAUAAACUUCUCUAUGGGAUUGUUUGGGAUGAUUGUCUGCAAAAACAGGGGGCUGAAAUAAAAAAUAAAAAACAAAACGAAACAAAACAAAACAAAACAUGAUGUUGUAUGCAGCCCUUUGUGCAAUUUAAGGGAAAGUGAUGUCAGUCCAUAAGGAUGAACAUUAUGGAAUGAGAAUGACUACUGCAGAGGCCAAGAACAGGAUAGAUAUGGAUCACUUUUCCUCACAAAGCAGAAAUGAGUUGGUGCCCACUUCAGGCCUGCUUUAUUGCAUAUAGGAAGAAAUUUCCACUGACCCAGGCAGGAGAGGUGGAAACCAUGGCAUUGGCAGGACAACCUGAUCGCACGAUCUCUCUAAAGUUCACAGGUCCAGCAAACUGAAAAGAAGGCACUGGACUGUUAAACAGACACCAGGGUGGGUAUUCAACUUCAUGAUCAGUGAUUGCUGUGUAGGUACAUACCUGGCAUAACUGUUUAAGUCCUGACCGCCACCCCCAGAUCCAAGCCUCCUCCUAGCCACUGGUUUGGUCUAGUGGGCAGAUCACUGGCCUAGGGCCCAUGAUGUAUGGGCAGAUCUUGACUGUGCUGUGGCAUUCAGCACCUUGAAGCAGGAGACUGGGCUGCUUUGUGGAGCUAUUUC
This 1135-nucleotide long non-coding RNA is filed under the name Anas platyrhynchos platyrhynchos (common mallard). RNAcentral's name for it is "lncRNA (ENSAPLG00000023111.1)". Lineage: Eukaryota; Metazoa; Chordata; Aves; Anseriformes; Anatidae. The record is from RNAcentral.